Molecule: ribosomal RNA, 447 nt
Filed under: uncultured bacterium
Lineage: Bacteria
Description: bacterial SSU rRNA
Rfam family: Bacterial small subunit ribosomal RNA
Source: RNAcentral
UGGGGAAUAUUGGACAAUGGGCGAAAGCCUGAUCCAGCCAUGCCGCGUGGAUGAUGAAGGCCUUAGGGUUGUAAAGUCCUUUCGGCGGGGAAGAUAAUGACGGUACCCGCAGAAGAAGCCCCGGCUAACUUCGUGCCAGCAGCCGCGGUAAUACGAAGGGGGCUAGCGUUGCUCGGAAUCACUGGGCGUAAAGCGCACGUAGGCGGCUUCUUAAGUCAGGGGUGAAAUCCUGGAGCUCAACUCCAGAACUGCCUCUGAUACUGAGGAGCUUGAGUCCGGGAGAGGUGAGUGGAACUCCGAGUGUAGAGGUGAAAUUCGUAGAUAUUCGGAAGAACACCAGUGGCGAAGGCGGCUCACUGGAUCGGUACUGACGCUGAGGUGCGAAAGCGUGGGGAGCAAACAGGAUUAGAUACCCAAGUAGUCCCUGAGCGGGCUGGCAAGGCGCAU